GAUGAACGCUGGCGGCGUGCUUAACACAUGCAAGUCGAACGGAGUUUUAGUAAUUGAUUGAUUUAGCUUGCUAUUGAGAGAUUUUGCUAAAACUUAGUGGCGGACGGGUGAGUAACGCGUGGGUAACCUGCCGUAUACAGGGGGACAACAGUUGGAAACGACUGCUAAUACCGCAUAAGCGCACAGUACUGCAUGGUACAGUGUGAAAAACUCCGGUGGUAUACGAUGGACCCGCGUCUGAUUAGCUGGUUGGUGAGGUAACGGCCCACCAAGGCGACGAUCAGUAGCCGGCCUGAGAGGGUGAACGGCCACAUUGGGACUGAGACACGGCCCAAACUCCUACGGGAGGCAGCAGUGGGGAAUAUUGCACAAUGGGGGAAACCCUGAUGCAGCGACGCCGCGUGAGUGAAGAAGUAUUUCGGUAUGUAAAGCUCUAUCAGCAGGGAAGAAAAUGACGGUACCUGACUAAGAAGCCCCGGCUAACUACGUGCCAGCAGCCG
Molecule: ribosomal RNA, 500 nt
Filed under: uncultured bacterium
Lineage: Bacteria
Description: bacterial SSU rRNA
Rfam family: Bacterial small subunit ribosomal RNA
Source: RNAcentral